Molecule: ribosomal RNA, 253 nt
Filed under: uncultured bacterium
Lineage: Bacteria
Description: partial 16S ribosomal RNA
Rfam family: Bacterial small subunit ribosomal RNA
Source: RNAcentral
UACAGAGGGUGCAAGCGUUAAUCGGAAUUACUGGGCGUAAAGCGUGCGUAGACGGUCAUGUAAGUCGGGUGUGAAAGCCCCGGGCUCAACCUGGGAAUUGCAUUCGAGACUGCAUGGCCAGGAUGCGGAAGAGGGAAGCGGAAUUUCCGGUGUAGCGGUGAAAUGCGUAGAUAUCGGAAGGAACACCAGUGGCGAAAGCGGCUUCCUGGUCCAGCAUCGACGUUCAGGCACGAAAGCGUGGGGAGCAAACAGG